CUGGCACACGCCAAUCAGCCUCACGAUGUGUGGGUGCUCGGUUCUGCUCAGUACCACAACCUGGAGAGUUCCAAACAUGAUUCAGGAGAUGCCUCUCCAAGCAGACAGCCUCUUCAGAAAUAUUUCUGGCACUCUGUAUCUCAUCAGAUUUAUCAGCACCCUCUUCGGAAAAAAUCUCCACCUCCUCACAAGCAUUUGAUUCCUCGACGCCUUGUUCAGCUUCCUGCACAUCGAAAAGGCGCUCGAGGUGCCAUCUUCAUUAAGCUCAAAUGCAUAGUACAACAUUUUGCAAGAGAGAGCAAGGGUUGUACAAAAUCCUGGAUAUUGUUUCUGUAUGUGUGGGCAACCUUAAAGAGUGAGUAGGUAGAAUUUCUGAAUGCACAUGUUUUAGUAGUUGUCUUGAAAGCAAAACGAAGGUGAGUUAUUACCUUUGCUGAUUGAUCAGCACCAUCCAUUUGAAUAACCCCAUCCCCAUUGAUGAUAUCAUCUGCCUGAAAUGAGACAUACUUGAGAAUACGCCACGAGUUAGGACCAAAACUUUGAACCAUAGUCAUGAACUUGUAAACUGAAACAGUUAUUAUUUGCAUAUGUUUAA
Long non-coding RNA from Triticum dicoccoides, 595 nucleotides. RefSeq lists it as uncharacterized. NCBI's taxonomy places the organism in Eukaryota, Viridiplantae, Streptophyta, Magnoliopsida, Poales, Poaceae. The transcript is spliced from 3 exons. The record is from RefSeq and is a predicted model, not a curated record.